AGCUACCAUGCAGUCGAGCGGAUGAGGGAGCUUGCUCCCGGAUUCAGCGGCGGACGGGUGAGUAAUGCCUAGGAAUCUGCCUGGUAGUGGGGGAUAACGUCCGGAAACGGGCGCUAAUACCGCAUACGUCCUGAGGGAGAAAGUGGGGGAUCUUCGGACCUCACGCUAUCAGAUGAGCCUAGGUCGGAUUAGCUAGUUGGUGGGGUAAAGGCCUACCAAGGCGACGAUCCGUAACUGGUCUGAGAGGAUGAUCAGUCACACUGGAACUGAGACACGGUCCAGACUCCUACGGGAGGCAGCAGUGGGGAAUAUUGGACAAUGGGCGAAAGCCUGAUCCAGCCAUGCCGCGUGUGUGAAGAAGGUCUUCGGAUUGUAAAGCACUUUAAGUUGGGAGGAAGGGCAGUAAGUUAAUACCUUGCUGUUUUGACGUUACCAACAGAAUAAGCACCGGCUAACUUCGUGCCAGCAGCCGCGGUAAUACGAAGGGUGCAAGCGUUAAUCGGAAUUACUGGGCGUAAAGCGCGCGUAGGUGGUUCAGCAAGUUGGAUGUGAAAUCCCCGGGCUCAACCUGGGAACUGCAUCCAAAACUACUGAGCUAGAGUACGGUAGAGGGUGGUGGAAUUUCCUGUGUAGCGGUGAAAUGCGUAGAUAUAGGAAGGAACACCAGUGGCGAAGGCGACCACCUGGACUGAUACUGACACUGAGGUGCGAAAGCGUGGGGAGCAAACAGGAUUAGAUACCCUGGUAGUCCACGCCGUAAACGAUGUCGACUAGCCGUUGGGAUCCUUGAGAUCUUAGUGGCGCAGCUAACGCGAUAAGUCGACCGCCUGGGGAGUACGGCCGCAAGGUUAAAACUCAAAUGAAUU
Molecule: ribosomal RNA, 866 nt
Filed under: Pseudomonas aeruginosa
Lineage: Bacteria; Pseudomonadati; Pseudomonadota; Gammaproteobacteria; Pseudomonadales; Pseudomonadaceae
Description: bacterial SSU rRNA
Rfam family: Bacterial small subunit ribosomal RNA
Source: RNAcentral